UACGAAGGGGACUAGCGUUGUUCGGAAUCACUGGGCGUAAAGCGCACGUAGGCGGAUGUGUCAGUCAGGGGUGAAAUCCCGGGGCUCAACCUCGGAACUGCCUUUGAUACAGCACGUCUCGAGUCCGGAAGAGGUGGGUGGAAUUCCGGGUGUAGUGGUGAAAUGCGUAGAGAUCCGGAGGAACGCCAGUGGUGCAGACGGCCACCUGGCCCUGACCUGACACUGAGGCGCGACAGCGUGGGGAGCGAACCGG
This 253-nucleotide ribosomal RNA is filed under the name uncultured bacterium. Its description in RNAcentral is "partial 16S ribosomal RNA". It matches the Rfam family "Bacterial small subunit ribosomal RNA", at positions 524 to 776 of the family's 1533-position model. The record is from RNAcentral.